Molecule: ribosomal RNA, 656 nt
Filed under: Promicromonospora aerolata
Lineage: Bacteria; Bacillati; Actinomycetota; Actinomycetes; Micrococcales; Promicromonosporaceae
Description: bacterial SSU rRNA
Rfam family: Bacterial small subunit ribosomal RNA
Source: RNAcentral
GCGUGCUUAACACAUGCAAGUCGAACGGUGAAGCCCAGCUUGCUGGGUGGAUCAGUGGCGAACGGGUGAGUAACACGUGAGCAACCUGCCCCCUACUUCGGGAUAAGCCUUGGAAACGAGGUCUAAUACCGGAUAUGAGCACUUACCGCAUGGUGGGUGUUGGAAAGUUUUUCGGUGGGGGAUGGGCUCGCGGCCUAUCAGCUUGUUGGUGGGGUAAUGGCCUACCAAGGCGUCGACGGGUAGCCGGCCUGAGAGGGCGACCGGCCACACUGGGACUGAGACACGGCCCAGACUCCUACGGGAGGCAGCAGUGGGGAAUAUUGCACAAUGGGCGAAAGCCUGAUGCAGCGACGCCACGUGAGGGAUGACGGCCUUCGGGUUGUAAACCUCUUUCAGCAGGGAAGAAGCGAAAGUGACGGUACCUGCAGAAGAAGCGCCGGCUAACUACGUGCCAGCAGCCGCGGUAAUACGUAGGGCGCAAGCGUUGUCCGGAAUUAUUGGGCGUAAAGAGCUCGUAGGCGGUCUGUCGCGUCUGGUGUGAAAUCCCAUGGCUCAACUGUGGGCUUGCAUCGGGUACGGGCAGACUAGAGUGCUGUAGGGGAGACUGGAAUUCCUGGUGUAGCGGUGGAAUGCGCAGAUAUCAGGAGGAACACCGA